Long non-coding RNA from Oncorhynchus keta (chum salmon), 611 nucleotides. RefSeq lists it as uncharacterized. The transcript has 3 exons. NCBI's taxonomy places the organism in Eukaryota, Metazoa, Chordata, Actinopteri, Salmoniformes, Salmonidae. The record is from RefSeq and is a predicted model, not a curated record.
UAUGUAUCUCAAUUGUGGCUCCCUCUAUCACUUCUCCUUUUAUGAACUGAACUCAAAGAACUGGACAGGUAGAAACGCAGUAAACUCAAAGAACUGGACAGGUGGAAAAGCAGUAAACUCAAAGAACUGGACAGGUAGAAACGCAGUAAACUCAACAAACUGGACAGGUAGAAACGCAGUAAACUCAAAGAACUGGACAGGUAGAAACGCAGUAAACUCAAAGAACUGGACAGGUAGAAACGCAGUAAACUCAAAGAACUGGACAGGUGGACAAGCAGUAAACUCAAAGAACUGGACAGGUAGAAACACAGUAAACUCAAAGAACUGGACAGGUAGGAACGCAGUAAACUCAAAGAACUGGACAGGUAGAAACGCAGUAAACUCAAAGAACUGGACAGGUAGAAAAGCAGUAAACUCAAAGAACUGGACAGGUAGAAACGCAGUAAACUCAAAGAACUGGACAGGUAGAAAAGCAGUAAACUCAAAGAACUGGACAGGUAGAAACGCAGUAAACUCAAAGAACUGGACAGGUAGAAACGCAGUAAACUCAAAGAACUGGACAGGUAGAAACGCAGUAAACUCAAAGAACUGGACAGGUAGAAACGCAGUAA